Molecule: ribosomal RNA, 372 nt
Filed under: uncultured organism
Description: partial 16S ribosomal RNA
Rfam family: Bacterial small subunit ribosomal RNA
Source: RNAcentral
GUAGGUGGCAAGCGUUGUCCGGAAUUAUUGGGCGUAAAGCGCGCGCAGGCGGUUCUUUAAGUCUGAUGUGAAAGCCCACGGCUCAACCGUGGAGGGUCAUUGGAAACUGGAGAACUUGAGUACAGAAGAGGAAAGCGGAAUUCCACGUGUAGCGGUGAAAUGCGUAGAGAUGUGGAGGAACACCAGUGGCGAAGGCGGCUUUCUGGUCUGUAACUGACGCUGAGGCGCGAAAGCGUGGGGAGCAAACAGGAUUAGAUACCCAGGUAGUCCACGCCGUAAACGAUGAGUGCUAAGUGUUAGGGGGUUUCCGCCCCCCUUAGUGCUGCAGCUAACGCAUUAAGCACUCCGCCUGGGAGUACGGCCGCAAGGCUG